This is a long non-coding RNA of Cyprinus carpio (common carp), 1037 nucleotides long. RefSeq lists it as uncharacterized. The transcript has 5 exons. The record is from RefSeq and is a predicted model, not a curated record. NCBI's taxonomy places the organism in Eukaryota, Metazoa, Chordata, Actinopteri, Cypriniformes, Cyprinidae.
UUCUUCAAUGAUAUAGCAUGUUGAUAUAGUCAAAGUUGCUGUUUAAUGGUGUUGGUGUCGUCUCAUCCUCAUUUCAUUUCAGUCAUGGAAAAGACAGGUUGAAUAUUUUUUUUGGUCAUCGUUUUCUUGAUUAAAAUGUACACUAGUGUGUUGAUGGGUUCUGUGUACCCCACACGGGUUCGGGACGAGGAGCAGGAGGAACUGGAGAAGAUGUUGUGUAAUUUCUGUGAGCUGCCUGCGGCCGGAGGAGUGGAGAACGGAUAGGGCAAGAUAAACAUCCUCCUCCAGACGUACAUCGGCUGCGGGGACGAGGACAGCUUCUCUCUCAUAUCUGACCUCUCUUAUGUAGCACAGAAUGCUGCUCGUAUCGUGUGGGCUCUGUUUGAGAUCGCUCUGAGGAAGCGCUGGCCCGCCAUGACCUACCGCCUGCUGAACCUGUGUAAAGUGAUUGACAAGCGUCUGUGUGGAUGGGCCCACCCACUGCGACAGUUCAGCGCACUGCCCUCUUUAGUGCUGUCCAGAAUAGAGGAGAGGUACCUCACGGUGGACAAACUCAGAGACAUAGACAAAGAUGAGAUCGGUCACAUGUUGUAUCACAUGAACAUCGGGAUAAAGAUGAAGCAGAUCAUCAGAUACCCGCCAUCCUGAUGGAGUCCAGCAUUCAACCAAUCACAUGCACUGUCCUGCGCAUACGCCUCGGACUUCAGGUGGAAUGACCAGGUCCAUGGCUCGCUGGGAGAGCCCUGGUGGUUAUGGGAGGAGGAUCCUAUCAACGAACACAUCUACCACUCUGAGUACUUCCUUCUGCAUAAGAAACAGGUUGUGAGUGGAGAGCCCCAGCAGGUGGUCUUCACUAUACCCAUCUUUGAGCCCAUGCCUUCUUAGUAUUACAUCCGAGCCAUGUCUGACUGUUGACUGGGCUCUGAAGCUGUGUGUAUCAUCAACUUCCAGCAUCUCAUCCUGCCUGAAAGACACCCACUACACACAGGUGCGUCCCAAAUAUAUACAGUAUAGUCAUAUUUCACGCUUUAAACAAC